UCGUGUCAUGGAGCCUGCCUGACGGAGGCAUCGUUCUGCUGCCCAAUGUAAAAUGUUUGUUUAGACUUGACGCUUGUGGCAUUCAGGCGCUGGGUUCACGUGCUAAAUGCAUGGAGAGGUGUAAGAAGCUGUGUUGAAAAGGGUAACUGCUUUGUCAUGCUGACUGCGUUCUUCUGGACCUGCAUCACAUCUAUAGCUAUUUUUACUUAUUUAGCAGACGUGACUGACAACUCAGUUAUGACCAGUAGGCUACAUUUAAGAGUGCACUCAAGCGCUUUAUAUUUAGUCAACUGGGCAAAACUGGUUGAAUCAACGUUGUGUCCACAUAAUUACAACAACAAGAAUCUACGCGAUGACGUUGAAUCAACGUGGACAACCAAUUGGAUUUGCAAAAAGUCAUCAACAUAUUGUCUGGCAGCUCCUCUGAUUUGAUGAAAUCCAUAAUGGCCUUAUAAAAGUUACCGAGGGCAACUGGAAUAGCUACUCUCUCCUCUUCCUCGGAGAUGGCCGGUUGAUGAAUAUAGAACCCAAGCUGUCAGUUGUGAGGCGGAGAGACGUCUCGGAGGUUGCCUGUCAGUCAUUGGGGGAACGUGUCAGAAAGUGAAAAGGCAGCGUUAAGACGUCAGACACAUUUACAUUGAGCCCUGUCUGCUGGAGAAAGCCUCUCCCUCGCCAGUGACAAAUGUUGAUUCUACAAUAACGGCCGAGACGCAGCGCUGCAAAAAUCUUUUUCUUUCAGCGAGCGAACCCCCUCGUCCUAUUAGACCUGAUGCAGUGUGAAAUCCACCCUCACCAUUUCCUCUAGCUUCCUGGAAAAGUAAAGUAACAUGAAUAUGGGCUCCGAGGAGAGGCUACAAUUUUCACGUACGUGUACACACACUCAGGCACACACUUCAGUCUCCGGCUCUUUAUUUGUCUGUGCCUGGGAAGGCCGAGGCCUCUUGCAGCCCAAGCGACCUAAGCAACAGCUGGUGUGCACAGACACAUUUCCUAUUUCUGCCCAAGGUGGAUCAUAUAACUCUCACUUUAUCACCCUUGGAGGCCAUGUGAAGGACAAAAUGAGCACGCCCAUAAACAAAACUAAUGUUUUCAUACUGGCCCUCUGGAGGUGGUAGAAGGGGCCCUUGGCGAGCCAACACCCCCCCACCACCACUCCCGCUAAUCCAACCCACCUCCGGCUUGGCUCCUACCCAUAUCAACCUAGACCUCGACCCCACCAGCCCUUUCCUCCUCGAGGGUCCCACUUUCCUUCGGUCUCACCCCCGUCUCCAGCCCACUACCCAUCAUGACACAGGCCACUUAGGCCAGCACUAUGGCGAUGCUUUGAAUGUGGUGCCUGAAUUUAUGAAUUUAUACAAUUUUCUAUGUCAUUUCUAGUCAUAAAUGCAAUAGGCCUAGUAUGCAUUUAUGAAAAUGACAGCGUUUUGGUAAUGGCCAUAGACGUUUGUACUUGUUUUUUUUAACUCCACAUCUUCAUCUGUUGUCCCCUUCCUACCAGUCCUUCCACAGUAGUACUUCUAAAGGCACAGGCCUCUGGAUAUCUCGCCCUUCCCUCUCCUAUCUCGAGUGUUAUUGGCUGCAGAGCCAGCGGCUGCAGAUACACAGCAUAGCAGCCGGCCCUCAGUGACCCGAUAACAUUUAUCGUUGUAAUGGAUUUUUUUUUAUGCCUGUCAUUAACUCACAGGCAGAGGGGGAAAAAGAUUGCUUGUACCAUUUUUUUUCUGUGGUAUUUCGACUUUAUGACAUUAUGUUCAGAUAUGUAAUCUUCCAUCAUCCUAGUUUUAGGGCCUGUCUGACCUGUCACUGCUUUCUGUGUUUAAAUGCAUAGCCCUUUGUGUGCUGUGUGGACUCUCCUUGUAUCUAGCUAUUGUAAUGAAUAUUUUAUGAAGCUAAAUUAAAAUGGUUGAAAGACA
This is a long non-coding RNA of Oncorhynchus mykiss (rainbow trout), 1913 nucleotides long. RefSeq lists it as uncharacterized. NCBI's taxonomy places the organism in Eukaryota, Metazoa, Chordata, Actinopteri, Salmoniformes, Salmonidae. The record is from RefSeq and is a predicted model, not a curated record.